GCCAAUGGCUGCGCCGUCGCGGCUGCGGGCGGAAGUCGCUGUGUGAGCCCCAUUCCUAGGUGGUGGGUUUCCGGGUUGUCCAUCGGAGGGUGGGGGGGCUUUUCUUGCGAGGCGAGCCAGACGGUAGGAAAGAAGCGCCAUGUCGGGACGCGAAGGUGGAAAGAAGAAGCCUUUGAAGCAACCCAAGAAGCAGUCGAAGGAAUUAGAUGAGGAAGAUAGAGCUUUCAAGGAGAAGCAGAAGGAGGAGCAAAAGAAACUGGAUGAGUUGAAGGCAAAAGCUGCUGGCAAGGGCCCACUUGCUGGAGGUGGGAUUAAAAAAUCUGGGAAGAAGUAGAAAGUUCUCUGGGACACCUGUGGCAAGAAAAAGAGAAUGAGUUCCUUCCCCUUUGAAGCUUAGCAGUAGGAAGAAUUUCCAAGCUAAUGUUGUGGGAAACAUUAAUAUAAGCACCUUUGUACAUUUUGUUCAAACAAAAUAAAGUAUUGGUUUGUUUUAA
Molecule: long non-coding RNA, 494 nt
Organism: Pantherophis guttatus
Lineage: Eukaryota; Metazoa; Chordata; Lepidosauria; Squamata; Colubridae
Source: RefSeq, a predicted model, not a curated record